Molecule: RNA transcript, 379 nt
Organism: Nelumbo nucifera (sacred lotus)
Lineage: Eukaryota; Viridiplantae; Streptophyta; Magnoliopsida; Proteales; Nelumbonaceae
Source: RefSeq, a predicted model, not a curated record
AUCUCUUUGAUGAUUAUGGAGGAAUGGAACCAGGGAGCCAUUCACUGAGGCUAGGAAGGUAUACGCUUGGGGAAAGAAGUUGUACGAAGUAGUUAAGGAUAUCAUUCUCUGUAGAUUUCAAAAGCUCGUGAUUUUGAUGAUUUGUUUCCUAUAAUCGAUCAUGAAGGAAAACCUUCAACGGAACAAAAAAUCUACGCCAGUCUUCUGUGGAAGCAACUCAACCACCUUGGGAAUGCUGGCUUUGAUUAAUGUUCUGUAUUACCAUGCCGAUUCGGCUUCUCCUCUUGCUUGGGAGAUCGAUCAUUGGUUUCCUUGUUCAAGUAAUAAUCUAUGGAAACUCUUGUUUUUCUCCUCAAGUUCAAUUCAAUUCUCUCUUUAU